This 415-nucleotide ribosomal RNA is filed under the name uncultured bacterium. RNAcentral's name for it is "bacterial SSU rRNA". It matches the Rfam family "Bacterial small subunit ribosomal RNA", at positions 355 to 768 of the family's 1533-position model. The record is from RNAcentral.
UAGGGAAUAUUGGGCAAUGGAGGGAACUCUGACCCAGCCAUGCCGCGUGCAGGAUGAAGGCGUUAUGCGUUGUAAACUGCUUUUAUAUAGGAAGAAAUAGUCCUUGCGAGGAAAGUUGACGGUACUAUAUGAAUAAGCACCGGCUAACUCCGUGCCAGCAGCCGCGGUAAUACGGAGGGUGCAAGCGUUGUCCGGAUUUAUUGGGUUUAAAGGGUGCGUAGGCGGUUUAUUAAGUCAGUGGUGAAAGACGGUCGCUCAACGAUUGCAGUGCCAUUGAUACUGGUAGACUUGAGUAUGAUUGAGGUAGCUGGAAUGGAUAGUGUAGCGGUGAAAUGCAUAGAUAUUAUCCAGAACACCAAUUGCGUAGGCAAGUUACUAAGUCAUAACUGACGCUGAGGCACGAAAGUGUGGGUAU